CCUACGGGCGGCUGCAGUGGGGGAUCUUCCGCAAUGGGCGAAAGCCUGACGGAGCAACGCCGCGUGAUCGAAUGAAGGCCUUCGGGUUGUAAAGCUCUGUUGACAGGGACGAAUAAGCACUGCAAAUAGUUUUGUGUAUGACGGUACCUGUUUAGAACGCUCCGGCUAACUACGUGCCAGCAGCCACGGUAAUAAGUCGGGAGCAUGCGUUGUCCGGAAUUACUGGGCGUAAAGGGCGCGUAGGUGGGCGCGUAAGUUAGGUGUGAAAACUCCGGGCGCAAACUGGAGACUGCACUUGAAACUGGGUGUCUUGAGGGCAGAAGAGGAAAGUGGACUUCCUAGUGUAGCGGUGAAAUGCGUAGAUAUUAGGAGGAACACCAGUGGCGAAGGCGACUUUCUGGACUGUACCUGACGCUGAGGCGCGAAAGCGUGGGUAGCGAACGGGAUUAGAUACCCUGGUAGUC
Molecule: ribosomal RNA, 464 nt
Filed under: uncultured bacterium
Lineage: Bacteria
Description: partial 16S ribosomal RNA
Rfam family: Bacterial small subunit ribosomal RNA
Source: RNAcentral